RNAcentral lists this ribosomal RNA (602 nucleotides) under uncultured Terfeziaceae. Its description in RNAcentral is "eukaryotic LSU rRNA". The stretch from base 235 to 388 matches the Rfam family "5.8S ribosomal RNA". Lineage: Eukaryota; Fungi; Ascomycota; Pezizomycetes; Pezizales; Pezizaceae. The record is from RNAcentral.
AAGGAUCAUUAUCAAAAAAUUCCUUAUUUUUUGAAAUAUUUUUUUCCAAUUUCCUCUGUGUACCUAUUCCAUGUUGCUUCCACUAGACCGGUAUCCAUUAGUAUUCUACUAACGUUUACCCUUCCUCCAUCUUAUAAUAAGUGGUUGAUGUAGUGUCGGUGGGUAGCCUUUAGUUAUAAAAAACUUGGGUUUAAAAUCUAGUCUGAUAUAUAAAGAUAAAAAUAAAUAAAUAAAAACUUUCAACAACGGAUCUCUAGGCUCUUGCAUCGAUGAAGAACGCAGUGAAAUGUGAUAAGUAAUGUGAAUUGCAGAAUUUCGUGAAUCAUCGAAUCUUUGAACGCACAUUGCGCCCUAUGGUAAUCCAUUGGGCAUACCUGUUUGAGUGUCAGAAUCCUAUGACUGAUCAAGCUUUUAUAUAUAUUAUUUUAUAUAUGAAGAUGUUUGGACAAAACGUUUGAGAAAAGUAGUAUAAUAAGGCUACUUUCUUAAAAAUGAGAUUUAUAUUUAUUUGGUUUUUUCUUCAAAACUCAUUUUGUAUGAAAUAUAGCAAAUGGGUGAGGACAGAAAUCAAUACUUUUUGGAUGACCUCAAAUCAGGUAGGA